GAGGGUAUAGCUCAGUGGUAAGGUGUGUGCCUAGCAUGCGCAGGGUCCUGGGUUCAAUCCCUAAUACCUCUG
RNAcentral lists this transfer RNA (72 nucleotides) under Camelus bactrianus (Bactrian camel). It matches the Rfam family "tRNA". From Rfam's summary of the family: Transfer RNA (tRNA) molecules are approximately 80 nucleotides in length. Their secondary structure includes four short double-helical elements and three loops (D, anti-codon, and T loops). Further hydrogen bonds mediate the characteristic L-shaped molecular structure. tRNAs have two regions of fundamental functional importance: the anti-codon, which is responsible for specific mRNA codon recognition, and the 3' end, to which the tRNAs corresponding amino acid is attached (by aminoacyl-tRNA synthetases). tRNAs cope with the degeneracy of the genetic code in two manners: having more than one tRNA (with a specific anti-codon) for a particular amino acid; and 'wobble' base-pairing, i.e. permitting non-standard base-pairing at the 3rd anti-codon position. RNAcentral also lists the same sequence under 1 other name. The record is from Rfam by way of RNAcentral. Lineage: Eukaryota; Metazoa; Chordata; Mammalia; Artiodactyla; Camelidae.